UCCUGGAGGUCCUGGAUGGAUCCUGCAGGUCCUGGAUCAAUCCUGCAUCCCCUGAGGGCACAGGGAGUGUCUCUGAUCCUGCUGGAGUCAGGGAGCUCCACCUCCCGGGAGGCGCCACCUCCCUCAGGGACACUAUAAAGGACGAGCUGUCCCCUGUGCCCUGGCCAGUGCCAGCCUGGAGAGACCUCGGAGCCAGGAGCCUGCAGGUGGAUGCUGUGCUGAUUGCUGAAGGCAGCGAGGCCCCAGAUCUGCCCCAAGGACGGGCUUGGCCACGAGCCAGAUCCCAUGGUUGGAUCUGAGUUCAGAAGAUCCUCCAGCAGCCCCAUCCUCAGCCCCCAGUCACAUCCCCUGGAUCUGGGGACAGAAGACCCUCCAAAAUCCCCUUCCUGAGCCCCAGCCAGAUCUCCUGGAUCUGGGGACAGAAGAUGCCGCAGCACCCCCAUCCUGAGCCCCAGCCAGACCCCCUGGAGCCCCCAGGAGCCGCCCCCAGUGCCCAGGACGAGGCCACCACAGU
Molecule: long non-coding RNA, 514 nt
Organism: Zonotrichia leucophrys gambelii
Lineage: Eukaryota; Metazoa; Chordata; Aves; Passeriformes; Passerellidae
Exons: 3
Source: RefSeq, a predicted model, not a curated record